Molecule: ribosomal RNA, 450 nt
Filed under: uncultured bacterium
Lineage: Bacteria
Description: bacterial SSU rRNA
Rfam family: Bacterial small subunit ribosomal RNA
Source: RNAcentral
GUGGGGAAUAUUGGACAAUGGGCGAAAGCCUGAUCCAGCCAUGCCGCGUGUGUGAAGAAGGUCUUCGGAUUGUAAAGCACUUUAAGUUGGGAGGAAGGGCAGUAAGUUAAUACCUUGCUGUUUUGACGUUACCGACAGAAUAAGCACCGGCUAACUUCGUGCCAGCAGCCGCGGUAAUACGAAGGGUGCAAGCGUUAAUCGGAAUUACUGGGCGUAAAGCGCGCAUAGGUGGUUUUGUAAGUUGGAGGUGAAAUCCCCGGGCUCAACCUGGGAACUGACUCCAAAACUGCAUGACUAGAGUACGGUAGAGGGUAGUGGAAUUUCCUGUGUAGCGGUGAAAUGCGUAGAUAUAGGAAGGAACACCAGUGGCGAAGGCGACUACCUGGACUGAUACUGACACUGAGGUGCGAAAGCGUGGGGAGCAAACAGGAUUAGAAACCUGUGUAGUCC